RNAcentral lists this long non-coding RNA (227 nucleotides) under Mytilus galloprovincialis (Mediterranean mussel). The record is from RNAcentral. Lineage: Eukaryota; Metazoa; Mollusca; Bivalvia; Mytilida; Mytilidae.
GAAAACAUUAUAAAAACUUGGACUAAUCAAAUACUCUCACCAAUUGGAAAAAUAACAGUGAUAAAAACACUUAUAAUAUCAAAAUUAAACCAUCUAUUCCUGUCCAUACCUAGUCCAAAUAGCACAAAGCUUAAACAUUUUACUGAAAAAAUAUUUUCCUUUAUCUGGGAUAACAAACCAGAUAAAGUCAAUAGAGACACCUUAUCCAAACCGCACUGUUUAGGAGG